This is a small nuclear RNA of Suricata suricatta (meerkat), 164 nucleotides long. Its record names the gene U1. It matches the Rfam family "U1 spliceosomal RNA". Rfam says of the family: U1 is a small nuclear RNA (snRNA) component of the spliceosome (involved in pre-mRNA splicing). The record is from Ensembl. NCBI's taxonomy places the organism in Eukaryota, Metazoa, Chordata, Mammalia, Carnivora, Herpestidae.
AUACUUACCUGGCAGAUGAGAUACUAUGAUCACACAGGUGGUCUCCCCAGGAUGAACCUUAUCCAUUGCACUAUGGAUGUGCUGACGCCUGUGAGCUCCCCAAAUGUGGGAAACGCGACUGUAUAAUUUGCGAUAGUGGGGGACUGUGUUCAUGAUUUCCCCUG